AGUCGAGCGAGAAAGGGGGGGCAACCCCCUGAGUAGAGCGGCGCACGGGUGAGUAACGCGUGGGUAACCUACCCCCAGGCGGGGGAUAACUACUCGAAAGGGUGGCUAAUACCGCAUGAGACCACGGGAUCUUCGGAUCUUGAGGCUAAAGAUCGCACCGGCUUGCCGGUGCUGUCACCAGGGGAUGGGCCCGCGUCCGAUUAGCUAGUUGGCGAGGUAAUGGCUCACCAAGGCUACGAUCGGUAGCUGGUCUGAGAGGAUGAUCAGCCACACUGGAACUGAAACACGGUCCAGACUCCUACGGGAGGCAGCAGUGAGGAAUAUUGCGCAAUGGGGGAAACCCUGACGCAGCAACGCCGCGUGGGUGAAGAAGGCCUUCGGGUCGUAAAGCCCUUUCGGACGGGACGAACGCUCCGCGGUGACAAGCCGCGGAGUCUGACGGUACCGUAGGAAGAAGCACCGGCUAACUCCGUGCCAGCAGCCGCGGUAAUACGGAGGGUGCGAGCGUUGUUCGGAAUUACUGGGCGUAAAGCGCGUGUAGGCGGCCUUGCAAGUCAGGCGUGAAAGCCCUCGGCUUAACCGGGGAAGUGCGUCUGAAACUGCUUGGCUUGAGUACGGGAGAGGGAGGCGGAAUUCCCAGUGUAGAGGUGAAAUUCGUAGAUAUUGGGAGGAACACCGGUGGCGAAAGCGGCCUCCUGGACCGAUACUGACGCUGAGACGCGAAAGCGUGGGGAGCA
RNAcentral lists this ribosomal RNA (737 nucleotides) under uncultured bacterium. RNAcentral describes it as "bacterial SSU rRNA". It matches the Rfam family "Bacterial small subunit ribosomal RNA", at positions 60 to 770 of the family's 1533-position model. The record is from RNAcentral.